RNAcentral lists this ribosomal RNA (226 nucleotides) under Diaporthe helianthi. RNAcentral's name for it is "partial 28S large subunit ribosomal RNA". It matches the Rfam family "Eukaryotic large subunit ribosomal RNA", at positions 3167 to 3384 of the family's 3401-position model. Lineage: Eukaryota; Fungi; Ascomycota; Sordariomycetes; Diaporthales; Diaporthaceae. The record is from RNAcentral.
GCCGACGCGAUGAUACCUCCCGCGCGUCGUAGACGGAUAAGAAUAGGCUCCGGCCUCGCAUCCUAGCAGGCGAUCCCUCCCGCGGCCUCGAAGUGGUCGUGGGUAGUUCGCGUAUUGUAAUUUGAACACGUGCGGGGUCAAAUCCUUUGCAGACGACUUAGCUGUGCGAAACGGUCCUGUAAGCAGUAGAGUAGCCUUGUUGUUACGAUCUGCUGAGGGUAAGCCG